UUCUCGUUACGAUCACUGAAGUUAAGCAACGUCGAGCCUGGUCAGUAGCUAGGUGGGUGACCGUUUGGGAAUUCCAGGUGCUGUAA
This is a non-coding RNA of Acanthosepion pharaonis, 86 nucleotides long. NCBI's taxonomy places the organism in Eukaryota, Metazoa, Mollusca, Cephalopoda, Sepiida, Sepiidae. The record is from the annotation of a GenBank genome assembly.